AUGAACGCUGGCGGUAUGCAUAACACAUGCAAGUCGAACGAAAGCGAAACUACGUAGCGUUGAACAUUGUUCAGCUACUUCCUUUAGUGGCGAACGGGUGAGUAAUACGUGAGAAUUCUACCCCUAGGAGGAGGAUAACCGCUGGAAACAGUUGCUAAUACUCCGUAUGUCGUGAGAUUAUAUAAUGUAAAGCCUAACGGUUUUUGCCUAGGGUUGUGCUCACGGCUGAUUAGCUAGUUGGUAAAGUAAUAGCUUACCAAGGCCACGAUCAGUAGCUGGUUUGAGAGAAUGGUCAGCCACACUGGGACUGAGAUACGGCCCAAACUCCUUCGGGAGGCAGCAGUGAGGAAUUUUCCGCAAUGGUCGAAAGACUGACGGAGCAAUACCGCGUGGGGGAUGAAUAACCGGAUGGUUGGUAAACCUCUUUUCUCAAGAAAGAAGUCUGACGGUACUUGAUGAAUAAGCAUCGGCUAACUCCGUGCCAGCAGCCGCGGUAAUACGGGGGAUGCAAGCGUUAUCCGGAAUUAUUGGGCGUAAAGCGUCUGUAGGCUGUUUAUAAUAGUCCUCUGUUAAAUCCUAGGGCUUAACCCUAGAAAAGCGGUGGAAUACUAAUGAACUAGAGUAUGGCAGGGGUAGAGGGAAUUUCUAGUGAAGCGGUGGAAUGCGUAGAUAUUAGAAAGAACACCGGUGGCGAAAGCGCUCUACUGGACCAUUACUGACACUCAGAGGCGAAAGCUAGGGUAGCAAAAGGGAUUAGAUACCCCUGUAGUCCUAGCCGUAAACGAUGGAUACUAGAUGUUGUGCAUAAUGUACAGUAUCGUAGCUAACGCGUUAAGUAUCCCGCCUGGGGAGUACGCUCGCAAGGGUGAAACUCAAAGGAAUUGACGGGGGCCCGCACAAGCGGUGGAGCAUGUGGUUUAAUUCGAUGCAACGCGAAGAACCUUACCAGGGCUUGACAUACUACGAAUUCUUUUGAGAAAGAGAAGUGCCUUCGGGAACGUAGAUACAGGUGGUGCAUGGCUGUCGUCAGCUCGUGUCGUGAGAUGUUGGGUUAAGUCCCGCAACGAGCGCAACCCUUAUUUUUAGUUACUAAUUCGUUAGGUUCUCUAGAAAGACUGCCGGUGACAAACCGGAGGAAGGUGAGGAUGACGUCAAGUCAGCAUGCCCCUUAUGUCCUGGGCUACACACGUGCUACAAUGGUUAAGACAAAGAGUCGCGAGCUCGCGAGAGUCAGCUAAUCUCAUAAACUUAGCCUAAGUUCAGAUUGUAGGCUGCAACUCGCCUACAUGAAGUUGGAAUCGCUAGUAAUCGCUGGUCAGCCAUACAGCGGUGAAUCCGUU
RNAcentral lists this ribosomal RNA (1340 nucleotides) under uncultured bacterium. RNAcentral describes it as "bacterial SSU rRNA". It matches the Rfam family "Bacterial small subunit ribosomal RNA", at positions 29 to 1372 of the family's 1533-position model. The record is from RNAcentral.